CUUCCGCAAUGGACGAAAGUCUGACGGAGCAACGCCGCGUGAGUGAUGAAGGUUUUCGGAUCGUAAAACUCUGUUGUUAGGGAAGAACAAGUAUCGUUCGAAUAGGGCGGUACCUUGACGGUACCUAACCAGAAAGCCACGGCUAACUACGUGCCAGCAGCCGCGGUAAUACGUAGGUGGCAAGCGUUGUCCGGAAUUAUUGGGCGUAAAGCGCGCGCAGGCGGUUUCUUAAGUCUGAUGUGAAAUCUUGCGGCUCAACCGCAAGCGGCCAUUGGAAACUGGGAGACUUGAGUGCAGAAGAGGAGAGUGGAAUUCCACGUGUAGCGGUGAAAUGCGUAGAGAUGUGGAGGAACACCAGUGGCGAAGGCGACUCUCUGGUCUGUAACUGACGCUGAGGCGCGAAAGCGUGGGGAGCGAACAGGAUUAGAUACCCUGGUAGUCCACGCCGUAAACGAUGAGUGCUAAGUGUUAGAGGGUUUCCGCCCUU
Molecule: ribosomal RNA, 487 nt
Filed under: Caryophanales bacterium
Lineage: Bacteria; Bacillati; Bacillota; Bacilli; Caryophanales
Description: bacterial SSU rRNA
Rfam family: Bacterial small subunit ribosomal RNA
Source: RNAcentral